UCGAAUCAAGUGUAUUCUUCUUCACAAACAAACUUUUAUUAUCUUCAACAAAUUCGGAAGAUUCACAAAUUGUUCCUCUCUUAUGUCUCCUUUCCAGAAUACUUUCUACUUUUGAAAUUCAACAUGUACUCGUCGUCGUCGUCAUCUUCUUCUAUUUUUCUUCAAUUCCCACCGGCGAGAACAACCACCGCGUCUCCAUUUAUUCUCCGCCGUAGCUCUUACGUGUUUCACACCAGGAAGCGAGGACCUCGUUUUAAAAGACAUCUAGUGAAUUCGUCAAUUUUCCCUCCGCCGUUUGAUGGCAGCGGUCCUCUCGAUGCUUCCCUAGCUUCAUUUCUCGCUUCAGGCUUAGCGGUUUUUUUAUCGUCGAGGUUAUUUGGAAGAUCUUUAGAGAUUAGUGAUACAAGUAGAAGAAGAAGAUCAAUCGUUGAUGAUGUUGUUGGGGAAUGGAUUCUUUUCACUACUCCUACGCCGUUUAACAGAUUUGUUCUUCUUCGUUGCUCUUUGCUCUCCUUUGAUGAUGACUCUGACAAGAGUUUAAGCGAUAGACUCCUCACAGCGGAGAGGCAUUUCCUUAAUUUGGAUACCGGCAAGAUUAUUGUAUCGGCUGCCGAUGAGAAGACUCCUCCGUUGGAGUAUCAGAGGGUUUGUAUCACUACCGAGGACGGCGGCGUUCUUUCGCUUGAUUGGCCGGCUAAUGUGGACAUUAGGGAGGAGCGUGGGCUGGAUACAACGGUGGUUUUCAUCCCGGGAACGCCGGAUGGUAGUAUGGAUGAAGGCGUUCGAUCGUUUGUAUGCGAAGCUCUGAGGCGAGGCUUGUUUCCUGUGGUCAUGAAUCCUAGAGGUUGUGCUGGUUCGCCUCUCACUACACCUCGGUUAUUUACAGCUGGUGACAGUGAUGAUAUAUCCACAGCUUUGCGAUUCUUAACCAAAACAAGGCCAUGGACAACUCUUACGGCUGUUGGCCGAGGAUAUGGUGCAAAUAUGCUGACAAAAUACCUGGCAGAGGCUGGGGAAAGAACACCUCUUACAGCUGCUGUUUGCAUUGAUAAUCCCUUUGACCUUGCGGAGAUCACACGAACAUCUCCGUAUUCUACUAGUUUGGAUCAACAGCUUACAAGUGGAUUAGUAGAGAUACUGCUGGCAAACAAGGAGCUUUUUCAAGGCAGAACAAAAGCCUUUGAUGUUGGAAAGGCUUUGUCUUCAAAAUCAGUUCGCGAAUUUGAUAAAGCCUUGUCCAUGGUGACAUAUGGUUGCGAGAGUAUAGAAGAUUUCUAUUCCAGUUGUGCCACAAGAGAUGUGAUCGGGGAAGUAAAAGUUCCUGUCCUCUUUAUACAGAAUGACGAUGUAGUACCACCGUAUACAAUACCACGAAGUUCAAUAGCUGAAAAUCCAUUUACAAGCCUGCUUAUGUGCUCUUCUUCACCAAAUCUGAUCGAUGAACGUACAGUGGCUGUGUCUUGGUGCCAGGACCUUGCGAUUGAGUGGUUGACUGCUGUAGAACUUGGGCUUCUGAAAGGUCGUCAUCCACUUUUGAAAGACGUGGAUAUUACUGUUAACCCUUCAAAGGGAUUAGUUUUUUCGGAAGCCAAAGCACCUGAAAAAAGUAUCGGUGCCAAGAAGCUCGUACAGCCAGCCGACGAAAAGAUGGUGAAUGGUUACCAUGUUGAUCCUUUCAGGGAAACACUUGAAGACAGUGACAUCAGCCCAAACUCGAAUUUGUCGUCUGGAAUAGAUUUAGAAAAGAAUGUCAAAGGCGAUUAUGGAGCUGAUGAAACAGAAAAUAGUAGAGUUUCAACAAGCAGUCUUGUUGAAGUUGAAUCAAUCGAAGAUAAUGAGUCCAAUGUAGAAGAAAGUGAUAGAGGUCAGGUGUUGCAGACUGCAGAAGUGGUUGUGAACAUGCUAGAUGUAACCAUGCCUGGCACCCUAAAAGCUGAAGAAAAGAAAAAGGUUAUGGAUGCUGUUGGUCGAGGAGAGACAGUUCUAACAGCACUGCAAGAUGCCGUGCCAGAAGAAGUUCGGGAGAAGCUUACAACAGCUGUAACUGGGAUCUUGCAGUCAGGUGGCACUAAAUUAAAUCUUGAAAAGCUUAAGCUUCCUAGUAUAGCACCAGGAUUGAAGAAAGCGGAGGAAGCAAGGAAAGAACCAUCAAGUGCCAUAGAUCAAAAAGAUUCUCAUUCUCCUGAUCCGAUAGAUAAGAGCGAUGGUUUGGUGAGUGGCUCAGAUGAAACUGUUAGUGGCUCGGAUAAUUCUCCAGGUGGAAUAGAACUGGAGCAUUCCCCUUCCAAGGUUUCCCAGAAAAACGGUGAUUCUGGAAAGUCCCAACCCGUUGACAGUGAUCAAGAUGAUAGUCUUGGAAAUUACGAGUCACAUACCAAUGAAAAGACCAGUGCAGCUGAUGAUUCUGAGAUGGCUUCCGAAGCAAAAAGUGAUAUUGCCAACCAGGGGUCUGUUGGCGCAGAGGAUGUCACUAAUAGUGAUGAAAAAGUGGACCAAGGUUCUGGAGUAGCUACGCAUCAAAGACAGGUAGAAACUAAUAAAAACGAUGAGAAAGGAGCACCAAUUGCCAGUGAAAAAUCCAGUGUAGCUGAUGCUUCGGAGAAGGCUUCAGAUGCAAAAAAUGAUAGUACCAACCCACAGCCAGUUGGUGCAGACGAUAUAACUAGUGAUGGGGACAAAGUGGACCAAGGUACUGUACUAUCUCAGCAACAAAAAAAGGAGGAAACUAAUAAAAAUGAUGAGAAUGCAAAACAGUCUGCCACAGAUCAAAACAAGGUGACAUCUACCGACAAUGAAGGAGAUGCUGGAAAAUCUUCUGCUUCACAGCCUGUAGAGAAAGACGAAGGUAAUGAUCAGAGCAAAGAAACCAAAGUUAUCCAGCCUGUAUCAGACCAAACUAAGCCAGCAAUUCAGGAAGCAAAUCAGCCUAAAUUUAAUGUUUCCCAUGCAUUUGAGGCAUUGACGGGGAUGGAUGAUUCAACUCAGGUAGCUGUCAAUAGUGUUUUUGGUGUGCUUGAAAACAUGAUUACUCAGCUGGAUGAAGAAAAAAAAGAAGGAAGUGAGGUAAGUGAUGAGAAGAAUCUCAAGGAUGAGAAGACUGUCACGAAUGAGGUAUUGUCCUUAUCUGAAGAGGAAAUUCCCUCCAAGAGAGAAACUGAAAGCCUUAUGCCCUCUGAAAAAUCUCAAGAUCCUGCAUGCAGUGUGAAUGAAACUGAAAAAUGUUCUGACAGUGAAAAGGUAACUGGGGUAAUGACUGAAAAACCUUUGGGCAGAGAUGAUGUGAUUGGUAAGCAUUCACCGAAGAUUCUGCCUGAAAGAAUUACAGAUUCUGUCGAAAAAUCUUCUAAUGAUGGAUACCUUGGGGAGGAACUUUCAAAAGAAAAGGUUGCAAAACAGUUAGACUUAAAUACAACCACUGCUCUCAUGCUUGACUAUUAUCCAGAGGAAGGUAAAUGGAAACUCCUUGAUCAACAACCAGAACACUUGGGUGAUAACUAUUAUCCAGAGGAAGGUAAAUGGAAGCUACUAGAUCAACAACCAGAAUACUUGGGUAACGUUGCUGACAAUGCAGCAGCCAGCAGAGAUACGCACGAAAAUGUUCAGGUUCAUUCCCUUAGUGUAGGUAAUGAAAAGAACAUCAUUGAGCCUUCAUAUGUGAUAUUGGACCAUGAAAAAGAGUUAGAGCUCUCUGAAAUGCAUGAUGCAGCAGACAAUCAAAAUGAUGGUCCUCACAAAUUAGACGAAGGAUGUGAGGAACUAGAGAACCUCAUUAAAGUUAUUGUAUCAGACUCUUUGAAUGUUGAAGUUCAACGCCGGAUGGGUUCAGCUGGCAUGAGGCAAAUUGAGUCUCAACUCAGUCGAGAUAUAAAAAUGGUGGCAAAGACAUUUUCUUAUGCUGUUGUAUAUGAAGAGCCUACUUGGACUUUCAAAAGGAACAGCAAAACUUCCGAUGGCCCUGCUGGAAAAGUAGGUAAACUUCAUGGGGACGCUAUCAUUAGGGCAAUUGCAUCUGCUGUCCAGGAGGCGCAUUUUCUCAGACAAGUACUGCCUAUUGGUGUUGUUGUUGGCUCUGUUUUAGCUGCUUUGAGAAAAUAUUUCGAUGUAUCUACAACAACCAGCAAUGCUAAGAGAGAUAUUGUCCCGGGUAGAACACAAAAGUACGAGAACAAUGAUGUAAAGACGAGUGUUGUGCCAGACAAGAUUAGCCAAGAGACCGAACAAAACAACUCGAGCAUUGGAGAAAUGGUGGAAUCUGGCCUGAAAAAAUUUAACAAUGAGGGUGUCAUGGUUGGUGCUGUAACAGCUGCUUUGGGAGCAUCUGCUAUGCUGGUUCAACACGAGGAUCCACAAAAAGGCGGCAUCAUGUCAAAAUCAUCGGAGAAAGUUAGUCAACAUAAAGAAUCUGGAAAACUUGAUCAGAACAGUAUAGUGGCAAGUUUUGCUGAGAAAGCCAUGUCCAUAGCGGGUCCUGCUGUUCCAACAAAGGAAACUGGUGAAGUGGAUCAGGAUAGGAUUGUGGCAAUGUUGGCAGAUUUGGGUCAGAGGGGUGGCAUAUUGAGGUUAGUUGGAAAACUUGCUCUGCUUUGGGGUGGCCUUCGUGGUGCUAUGAGUUUAACUGAUAAGCUAAUCCAGUUUUUGCGUAUGGAUGAAUGGCCCUUGCUCAAGAGGGCUGUGGGCUUUAUUGGCAUGGUGCUCGUGUUAUGGUCACCGGUUGUGAUUCCAUUGCUUCCAACACUUCUCCAGAGCUGGUCCACAAGUAAUCCUUCUAGAGUGGCGGAACUAGCUAGUGUAGUUGGUCUCUAUGUUGCUGUAUUCAUUCUUGUUAUGCUGUGGGGAAAAAGAGUACGGAAGUAUGAAAACCCAUUCAAGCAAUAUGGGCUUGAUUUUAAGGCAUCAAACAAAGAAAAGAUUCAAGAGUUUUUAAAGGCUUUUGCAGGGGGCAUCACAGUCGUUCUACUAAUACAGUUCAUAAAUGCAAUAUCAGGAGCUGCGAUUUUUUCUCGACCGCCAUAUUUUCCACAUCCUUUUGAUGCCAUGAAGUGUCUUAAGGGAUUUGGGCAAUUUCUUCUGCUGAUAAUUAGAGGAUUUACAGCUGCGACAUUUGUUGUGCUUGUGGAAGAGUUGCUCUUCAGAUCAUGGAUGCCUGCCGAGAUUGCGAUAGAUCUGGGCUACCAUCAAAGCAUUAUCAUUACAGGACUCAUAUUUGCCUUGUUCCAAAGAUCCCUGAGAUCAAUUCCAGGGUUAUGGCUUCUGUCAUUGGCGCUUGCUGGGGCUCGUGAAAGAAGCCAAGGAAAUCUAAUUGUUCCAAUUGGGUUGCGGGCAGGAAUCAUAGCAACAAGCUUUAUACUACAGUCAGGUGGAUUCCUCACCUACAACCCAAGUUCCCCGGUUUGGAUUGCAGGGAGCCGCCCUUUACAGCCUUUUAGUGGAGUGGUUGGUCUUAUGGUCUCUUUGGCGUUGGCACUCAUUCUUUAUCCGAAACCUUCUCCUGAAACCAAGAUGCUGAAAUAUAAUUAAGAAGAAGAAGGCAAACAAUAUGAAGCGACAUGUUGUGCUCAUGCCCUUUCUGAGAUUUGCAGAGUGAAACUGAUUUACUAUGCACAGAAGAAUAAAAAAAGAAUAGGCGAAAGUAUAAACAAUGAGGACAGAAGAAGAGCUUCGGAUCUGCAUGCUUAUCAUACAAAAAGAAGUUUGGUUUUCAUUUUCAGAAUCAUGUUGAUUAUGCGUCUAUACUAUUCAGUGGGUAGGGAAAAAAGAGUUGGUAAAGACGCAAUAACAUUGUGCCAUAGUCCAUAGUCCAGAACUCCAAACUGUAACUUUAUUUUAGGUGUUUAGAGCAACCUUUUGUUUUGGUAUAUACUUCUAUCA
RNA transcript from Arabidopsis lyrata subsp. lyrata, 5868 nucleotides. RefSeq lists it as uncharacterized. The transcript has 12 exons. The record is from RefSeq and is a predicted model, not a curated record. NCBI's taxonomy places the organism in Eukaryota, Viridiplantae, Streptophyta, Magnoliopsida, Brassicales, Brassicaceae.